RNAcentral lists this ribosomal RNA (256 nucleotides) under Escherichia coli. RNAcentral describes it as "partial 23S ribosomal RNA". It matches the Rfam family "Bacterial large subunit ribosomal RNA", at positions 2692 to 2925 of the family's 2925-position model. RNAcentral also lists the same sequence under 1 other name. The record is from RNAcentral. Lineage: Bacteria; Pseudomonadati; Pseudomonadota; Gammaproteobacteria; Enterobacterales; Enterobacteriaceae.
CCGGAGUGGACGCAUCACUGGUGUUCGGGUUGUCAUGCCAAUGGCACUGCCCGGUAGCUAAAUGCGGAAGAGAUAAGUGCUGAAAGCAUCUAAGCACGAAACUUGCCCCGAGAUGAGUUCUCCCUGAGACUUUAAGUCUCCUGAAGGAACGUUGAAGACGACGACGUUGAUAGGCCGGGUGUGUAAGCGCAGCGAUGCGUUGAGCUAACCGGUACUAAUGAACCGUGAGGCUUAACCUUACAACGCCGAAGCUGUU